UUAGUAUAGUUUAAUAAAACAUUAGGCCGUGGCCCUAAAAAUAGAAGCUUAUUACUUCUUACAAACCAA
RNAcentral lists this transfer RNA (69 nucleotides) under Phrynosoma mcallii (Flat-tail horned lizard). Its description in RNAcentral is "tRNA-His". It matches the Rfam family "tRNA". Rfam says of the family: Transfer RNA (tRNA) molecules are approximately 80 nucleotides in length. Their secondary structure includes four short double-helical elements and three loops (D, anti-codon, and T loops). Further hydrogen bonds mediate the characteristic L-shaped molecular structure. tRNAs have two regions of fundamental functional importance: the anti-codon, which is responsible for specific mRNA codon recognition, and the 3' end, to which the tRNAs corresponding amino acid is attached (by aminoacyl-tRNA synthetases). tRNAs cope with the degeneracy of the genetic code in two manners: having more than one tRNA (with a specific anti-codon) for a particular amino acid; and 'wobble' base-pairing, i.e. permitting non-standard base-pairing at the 3rd anti-codon position. The record is from RNAcentral. Lineage: Eukaryota; Metazoa; Chordata; Lepidosauria; Squamata; Phrynosomatidae.